Molecule: long non-coding RNA, 1210 nt
Filed under: Serinus canaria (Common canary)
Lineage: Eukaryota; Metazoa; Chordata; Aves; Passeriformes; Fringillidae
Description: lncRNA (ENSSCAG00000016700.1)
Source: RNAcentral
CCUUCCAUCUGCUCCAAGCCCUGGCCUUGAGCACUUCCAGGGAUGGAGCAGCCUGAGAUUCCCGGGAUAACCAGUGCCAGGGCCUCACCACCCUGCAGUAAGGGUAGGGAUAUUCCUUGGGCUGAGGAAUCCCAAAUAUCCAGUCUCAGUCUCCCGUGUUUUGGUUUAAAAUUGUGUUUUCCAUUCCCUGGGAUUCUCCAUCUCCUGGGUUCUCCGUGGGGUGAGCACUCCAAGCUCUCUGAAUUCCUUAAAAAGGCCCCAAAUCUGUCCCCAUCCUCGGGACACCCUCAGCCCUGGGGAGCCACAGUGGGAAUUUGGCACCUCUGGAGCAGCUCAGCUGGAUCAGGAGGUUUGGGACAGCCAGAAUCCCUCUGGAUCCUCCUCCUGCAGGGCCAGCCCCAUCUCCCAGCCCAUCCUGACCCGGGGUUCUCUGCAUUCCUUGGCAUCCUCAGGGGAUCUUCCAGGGAAUCCUCGGCAUCUCCUCAGGGAUCUUCCCCUGCUCCCUCUGAGCUCUGCUGGGACCCUCUGGCAGCUUCCUCACAUCCCUCAGCAUCUCCUCCAGAGCCUUCCCUUGGGGAUUUUGGGGAUUUUGGCGUCUUCGUUGACAUCCCUCGGCGUCUUCCUGGCGUGUUCCUUGGCAUCUUCUCUGGCAUCUUCAUCCCCACCCCUGGGCAACUUCCCUGGGACCCCUGGGCACAUCUGGGACCCCUGGCAUCUUCUCUGGGACCCCUGGGCACGUUCCCUGGGCACAUUCCCUGGGAUCCCUGGGCACAUCUGGGACCACUGGGCACAUUCUGGGACCCCUGGGCACAUUCCCGGAUACCUGGGCACAUUCCUGGACCUUUCCUCUGGAUCUCUGGAUUCUUUGGGACCCCUGGGCACAUUCCUCUGUAUCUCUGGAUUCCCUGGGAUCCCUGGGCACAUUCCUGGACCCCUGGGCACAUUUCUGGGCUCAUUCCCGGCUCCCUGGGCUCGUUCCCGGCUCCCUGGGCACAUUUCUGGGGACAUUCCCGGCUCCCUGGGGCCAUUCCCGGCUCCCUCGGUCUCCUCUCCCCGCCCUGGGCUCGGCGAUCCCGAGGCUGUUCCCCCUCCGGACCCGACCUCGGGCCGCGGUUUUUUGGCCACGGGAGGGGCGGAUCCCGGCGGCGGCGGCGGCCGCGAGGCUCCUUUUUGGGAGGGAAAGGGUUAAAAUUCCAGGGGAGGGAAGGAG